AAUAAGUACAGUCGUGGAUAUCCGUGCCCAAUGUUUAACCGUCCGUCUUAUUUAAAAAAUUUAUGAAAAAAUUGAAAAUAUUUAGUCACAUAUAAAGUACUAUUCAUGUUUAUCAUCUAAUAGCAAUAAAAAUACUAAUUAUAAAAAAAUUCAAAUAAGACGAACGGUCAAACGUUAAACGUGAAUAGUGCAAAACUGCACUUAUU
Molecule: microRNA precursor, 206 nt
Filed under: Oryza sativa Japonica Group (Japanese rice)
Lineage: Eukaryota; Viridiplantae; Streptophyta; Magnoliopsida; Poales; Poaceae
Description: MIR812 microRNA precursor family
Rfam family: MIR812 microRNA precursor family
Source: Rfam by way of RNAcentral